This 1117-nucleotide long non-coding RNA is filed under the name Anser brachyrhynchus (Pink-footed goose). RNAcentral describes it as "lncRNA (ENSABRG00000018876.1)". Lineage: Eukaryota; Metazoa; Chordata; Aves; Anseriformes; Anatidae. The record is from RNAcentral.
UUCUGUAUAUAUAUAUAUUUCAAUUUAUUAAGGCAUUAUGUAUUGAAUUACCUUGUAAAGAUAGUGUCUACAGACGAAAAGUCUGUAUUGUAACAUAGAGCUUAUUAUUUCCACAGCUUAUUACAUUUUAAAGAGUAUGUUUUUGUGAAAUUAAGCUAUACUAAAUUCUACAGGUUAGCUGGGUUCCUGACAUAAGGCUGGGAUUUGUUGUGAGACACAGAGAGGACGAAGAGCAAAUUUUACUGUUAUUGUUUCUAGGCUGGUGAAGCUAGAAAUGCAUUUAAGCUCCCAGGUCUGGCCACAACUUGGUCAUGGCAAGUCUUACCAGACACCAGACCCCAUCUUCUCUGCAGUUUUAUCAAUCUGGGGAAAUGACUUAUGGGCUUCCUUCUAAGCUUCCUUACCCUGCAUAGCGUAGACAUGCCUACAAGGUGAGGUUUUGUGAUGCAGCCAAGCCAGUGAUACCCUUUGUGACUUCAGAAUGAGGCAGUCCACCCCUAACUGCCCUCCUACUACAGCUGUUGUGCCAAUACAGAUUCUUGUCUGAUCCCACAAUAUGUCAGUUUAGGGAGUUAAACCAGCAUAAAACUAUUUAUGGUUAACUUGUGUGGUUAUUUUUUCUCCUGGUUAAUGUUCUCAUAUUGAGUUAUCCUUUGAAUCCAUUUCAACCUGCACCCUGCCAAGAAAAAAAUGCAGAGAAAAGCAGUGUAGGAAAGGAGGAGGAGGUGGCCAGUCACAGGUGGGUUUCUGCAGAACAAAGAGAGACUGACAGAAAAAUGUGCUGAUGUUCAUGAAGUUGAAAAAGCUGCUUUGGCAGAAAAGGGUACUGGAUUUGGUCAGCUGAAUCUGUUCUUUUAUCUGACAUAUGUAUAUGACAAGGGAAGGAGGAGGAAGGAGGAAACUGGGAAAAUCAGAAGUGAGACAGCUGGUACUUUUCUAUUUGUCACCACUCAGUGUUCUUCUAUCACCAGAGAGUGUGUAGAGAGUGAUACAUGCAACUAACACCCCACGGGAGGAGAGAACUGCCAAGAGCUGAUGCAAACACAGGAAGCAGCUGCCAGCAGCCUUGUUUUUCUCUCUGUGAAAGAGAGAUACCGUGAGGUAACAGGGAAUAGAA